This 2989-nucleotide ribosomal RNA is filed under the name Salmonella enterica subsp. enterica serovar Infantis. RNAcentral describes it as "23S ribosomal RNA". It matches the Rfam family "Bacterial large subunit ribosomal RNA". The record is from RNAcentral. Lineage: Bacteria; Pseudomonadati; Pseudomonadota; Gammaproteobacteria; Enterobacterales; Enterobacteriaceae.
GGUUAAGCGACUAAGCGUACACGGUGGAUGCCCUGGCAGUCAGAGGCGAUGAAGGACGUGCUAAUCUGCGAUAAGCGCCGGUAAGGUGAUAUGAACCGUUAUAACCGGCGAUUUCCGAAUGGGGAAACCCAGUGUGACUCGUCACACUAUCAUUAACUGAAUCCAUAGGUUAAUGAGGCGAACCGGGGGAACUGAAACAUCUAAGUACCCCGAGGAAAAGAAAUCAACCGAGAUUCCCCCAGUAGCGGCGAGCGAACGGGGAGGAGCCCAGAGCCUGAAUCAGCAUGUGUGUUAGUGGAAGCGUCUGGAAAGGCGCGCGAUACAGGGUGACAGCCCCGUACACAAAAGCGCAUGUGCUGUGAGCUCGAUGAGUAGGGCGGGACACGUGGUAUCCUGUCUGAAUAUGGGGGGACCAUCCUCCAAGGCUAAAUACUCCUGACUGACCGAUAGUGAACCAGUACCGUGAGGGAAAGGCGAAAAGAACCCCGGCGAGGGGAGUGAAAAAGAACCUGAAACCGUGUACGUACAAGCAGUGGGAGCACAGGUUUACCUGUGUGACUGCGUACCUUUUGUAUAAUGGGUCAGCGACUUAUAUUCUGUAGCAAGGUUAACCGAAUAGGGGAGCCGGAGGGAAACCGAGUCUUAACCGGGCGUUAAGUUGCAGGGUAUAGACCCGAAACCCGGUGAUCUAGCCAUGGGCAGGUUGAAGGUUGGGUAACACUAACUGGAGGACCGAACCGACUAAUGUUGAAAAAUUAGCGGAUGACCUGUGGCUGGGGGUGAAAGGCCAAUCAAACCGGGAGAUAGCUGGUUCUCCCCGAAAGCUAUUUAGGUAGCGCCUCGUGAAUUCAUCUCCGGGGGUAGAGCACUGUUUCGGCUAGGGGGCCAUCCCGGCUUACCAACCCGAUGCAAACUGCGAAUACCGGAGAAUGUUAUCACGGGAGACACACGGCGGGUGCUAACGUCCGUCGUGAAGAGGGAAACAACCCAGACCGCCAGCUAAGGUCCCAAAGUCAUGGUUAAGUGGGAAACGAUGUGGGAAGGCCCAGACAGCCAGGAUGUUGGCUUAGAAGCAGCCAUCAUUUAAAGAAAGCGUAAUAGCUCACUGGUCGAGUCGGCCUGCGCGGAAGAUGUAACGGGGCUAAACCAUGCACCGAAGCUGCGGCAGCGAACGUAUCACUUAAAGCGAUUCAGCGGGUUACGAUUGACGGAGCGAAGCGACGUCAAAGCGUAUACAAAGUCGAGUCGGUUUAAGGAUACGUUCGUUGGGUAGGGGAGCGUUCUGUAAGCCUGCGAAGGUGGCCUGUGAGGGUUGCUGGAGGUAUCAGAAGUGCGAAUGCUGACAUAAGUAACGAUAAAGCGGGUGAAAAGCCCGCUCGCCGGAAGACCAAGGGUUCCUGUCCAACGUUAAUCGGGGCAGGGUGAGUCGACCCCUAAGGCGAGGCCGAAAGGCGUAGUCGAUGGGAAACGGGUUAAUAUUCCCGUACUUGGUGUUACUGCGAAGGGGGGACGGAGAAGGCUAUGUUGGCCGGGCGACGGUUGUCCCGGUUUAAGCGUGUAGGUGUGUGUUCCAGGUAAAUCCGGUUCACUUUAACACUGAGGCGUGAUGACGAGGCACUACGGUGCUGAAGCAACAAAUGCCCUGCUUCCAGGAAAAGCCUCUAAGCAUCAGGUAACAUCAAAUCGUACCCCAAACCGACACAGGUGGUCAGGUAGAGAAUACCAAGGCGCUUGAGAGAACUCGGGUGAAGGAACUAGGCAAAAUGGUGCCGUAACUUCGGGAGAAGGCACGCUGACACGUAGGUGAAGUGAUUUACUCAUGGAGCUGAAGUCAGUCGAAGAUACCAGCUGGCUGCAACUGUUUAUUAAAAACACAGCACUGUGCAAACACGAAAGUGGACGUAUACGGUGUGACGCCUGCCCGGUGCCGGAAGGUUAAUUGAUGGGGUCAGCGCAAGCGAAGCUCCUGAUCGAAGCCCCGGUAAACGGCGGCCGUAACUAUAACGGUCCUAAGGUAGCGAAAUUCCUUGUCGGGUAAGUUCCGACCUGCACGAAUGGCGUAAUGAUGGCCAGGCUGUCUCCACCCGAGACUCAGUGAAAUUGAACUCGCUGUGAAGAUGCAGUGUACCCGCGGCAAGACGGAAAGACCCCGUGAACCUUUACUAUAGCUUGACACUGAACAUUGAGCCUUGAUGUGUAGGAUAGGUGGGAGGCUUUGAAGCGUGGACGCCAGUCUGCGUGGAGCCGACCUUGAAAUACCACCCUUUAAUGUUUGAUGUUCUAACGUGGACCCGUAAUCCGGGUUGCGGACAGUGUCUGGUGGGUAGUUUGACUGGGGCGGUCUCCUCCUAAAGAGUAACGGAGGAGCACGAAGGUUGGCUAAUCCUGGUCGGACAUCAGGAGGUUAGUGCAAUGGCAUAAGCCAGCUUGACUGCGAGCGUGACGGCGCGAGCAGGUGCGAAAGCAGGUCAUAGUGAUCCGGUGGUUCUGAAUGGAAGGGCCAUCGCUCAACGGAUAAAAGGUACUCCGGGGAUAACAGGCUGAUACCGCCCAAGAGUUCAUAUCGACGGCGGUGUUUGGCACCUCGAUGUCGGCUCAUCACAUCCUGGGGCUGAAGUAGGUCCCAAGGGUAUGGCUGUUCGCCAUUUAAAGUGGUACGCGAGCUGGGUUUAGAACGUCGUGAGACAGUUCGGUCCCUAUCUGCCGUGGGCGCUGGAGAACUGAGGGGGGCUGCUCCUAGUACGAGAGGACCGGAGUGGACGCAUCACUGGUGUUCGGGUUGUCAUGCCAAUGGCACUGCCCGGUAGCUAAAUGCGGAAGAGAUAAGUGCUGAAAGCAUCUAAGCACGAAACUUGCCCCGAGAUGAGUUCUCCCUGAGACUUAGAGUCUCCUGAAGGAACGUUGAAGACGACGACGUUGAUAGGCCGGGUGUGUAAGCGCAGCGAUGCGUUGAGCUAACCGGUACUAAUGAACCGUGAGGCUUAACCUU